This 21-nucleotide unclassified non-coding RNA is filed under the name Mus musculus (house mouse). RNAcentral's name for it is "oocyte_clustered_small_RNA14173". The record is from RNAcentral. Lineage: Eukaryota; Metazoa; Chordata; Mammalia; Rodentia; Muridae.
UUCCAGCCCAGGCAACUAUAC